UAUCAACUUGUUCUGAGUAUUCCUCAGGUUUGUGACAUGCAAAGGGUAAGCUACAGGUGUCUGCAACUUCUAGGGCAUCAUCUUUUCCUUGGUGUGGCAGAGUGAGCGGUGCUGCUGGAUGGUUGUUCACAGUGAAGCACUGCCCUUGCAUUUCUCGGAGCUCUUCAGUGCCCUACUUGACAACAAAAUGACAGAAGUACCCAUCAGAGAGAUCAACAAAUGAAGUGAAUCUUCCUGGAAAUAAGGAGGCCAAGGAAAACAUGUAGUUAUUCCUGAACAAUUAUGUCAAGAAGCUGAGUCAGCAGCUCAGGAUUUGCUCCAGUGGGUAGAAGUCAAGGAAAGAGAAGCAAUUCUUGGGCUUGAUGAGUGUUAUACUCUACCUUAAUGCAUCUUUUAACUGAUCUGUCAGAAACAUUUCAGACCUAUUAAUCCUGAAAAUCUUCUUUCAGUUUGUCUGUGAUUCAUGCUGAUAGCUCUCGUCUCUUGGAGCAAUGAUAACAAUGUUUUAUAGAAUUUCUACACAGUAAAAAGCAGAUGCUACCCUUAUGAGGGUGAUGAAUUCCACAUGUUGAAUGGGCCAAAGCAAGGACAAAAGGCCCAGAGCCUUGAGCCUGGAGGCUGCUGAUGGGCAAUAGAAGACGUGAAAAACAGCAACAGAGGUUGUCUAAUGACAGUACUGGUAGUACUUCCUUUCUACAGAUUUCUAUUCUCGUUAUCUAUUGAAGAUGCCUCUUUUUUCGGAAGUGGAUGGGGGUGGAGAAGUGUAAUUGCUACAUACAGUCUCCAGGCAUUUUUAUGACAGCUAGGAUGAUGAGCACAGGGCUUAGCAAGAGCUGGGUAGGUGCUACUGUAAAGCAAACACUGGUUACUGAAUGCAACCUCGAACAAUUCCAGAUGGGAAUCCAUGCCCCAGCUCCAGAAGGUGGGCAUCGCGAACAGCGUAGCCCACUGGAUCAGUGUCGUGUUUUCAAUCUGCUGAGCAGGUGAGAGAAAUGAAGAGGGCAGGAAGGCAGGGGGAGACAAAGUACACACUAGAAGGCUGAUCCUUGUUAAGCUGUUCAGUAUUGUCCGCCUUGUUGAACUCUCAUUCCUGUGAUCUGAUCUGACCUUUGUUUGAUUUUUUUGUUUGUUCUUUUCUCCCCUGUAUCAGUUCCACUUCUAAUUUCUACUGUUUGACCAUCUGUGGACACUCUGAACCUGUAGCACCAGUGGGGUGGAUGGCUCUGUGUUAGACAGCAGGAUGGGAGGGCACUGGGUGUUCCGAAGGUAUUUGACUCCUGCGCCAUUGAUGAGAGGAUGAUUUUUCUGAUGUUUGACAAAGCCAGUUUGUUCUUAGGCUGGAACUCAUAAGAGAAGACAUGUUUUGAAAGCAUUACUCAGAUACUAACUGUACUGCCUAGGAACAAAGGCCACAGAGCAUUAGAAGCAACAGAAUAAGAAAAUCUAUAUUGAAAGUGCAGCUGGCUUUUAGUAGCUGAGGUUGUGUGGGAACGUGUUCUGGUGCAGUGGUAUAAGAGGAGAUGGAAAUUCAAAUAUCAAACUGUUCAUCUUUAGGCUGUCAGUUCAGACUGGGUCAAGGUUUAUUUGCUAAUGUCAAUACCAAAUAAAAUUCUAGA
This is a non-coding RNA of Meleagris gallopavo (turkey), 1616 nucleotides long. The record is from RefSeq and is a predicted model, not a curated record. Lineage: Eukaryota; Metazoa; Chordata; Aves; Galliformes; Phasianidae.